GUGGGGAAUAUUGGACAAUGGGCGAAAGCCUGAUCCAGCCAUGCCGCGUGAGUGAUGAAGGCCUUAGGGUUGUAAAGCUCUUUCAGUGGGGACGAUAAUGACGGUACCCACAGAAGAAGCCCCGGCUAACUUCGUGCCAGCAGCCGCGGUAAUACGAAGGGGGCUAGCGUUGUUCGGAUUUACUGGGCGUAAAGCGCACGUAGGCGGAACGUUAAGUCAGGGGUGAAAUCAUGGAACUCAACUCCAGAACUGCCUUGGAUACUGGCGAGCUAGAGUCCGGAAGAGGUGAGUGGAACUCCUAGUGUAGAGGUGGAAUUCGUAGAUAUUAGGAAGAACACCAGUGGCGAAGGCGGCUCACUGGUCCGGUACUGACGCUGAGGUGCGAAAGCGUGGGGAGCAAACAGGAUUAGAUACCCGGGUAGUCC
RNAcentral lists this ribosomal RNA (425 nucleotides) under uncultured bacterium. RNAcentral describes it as "partial 16S ribosomal RNA". It matches the Rfam family "Bacterial small subunit ribosomal RNA", at positions 354 to 796 of the family's 1533-position model. The record is from RNAcentral.